GACUCGAUGGCGGAUGGUCCGCACCUGCCGUUCGUCGACACGAAAUGACGAAGAUAAAUAAGCAGGGGUCGCCUGUUCGAAUCAGGCUCGAGUCA
This is a non-coding RNA of Mycena latifolia, 95 nucleotides long. The record is from the annotation of a GenBank genome assembly. Lineage: Eukaryota; Fungi; Basidiomycota; Agaricomycetes; Agaricales; Mycenaceae.